Non-coding RNA from Mycena sp. CBHHK59/15, 120 nucleotides. The record is from the annotation of a GenBank genome assembly. NCBI's taxonomy places the organism in Eukaryota, Fungi, Basidiomycota, Agaricomycetes, Agaricales, Mycenaceae.
GGUGAGAUGGCCGAGCGGUCUAAGGCGCCAGACUAAGGAUCAACUUCGAAUUGAAGUUCACUUUGUGCAAUCCCCAAUCUGGUCAUUAAUUUGGCGUGGGUUCGAAUCCCACUCUCAUCA